RNAcentral lists this ribosomal RNA (468 nucleotides) under uncultured bacterium. RNAcentral describes it as "partial 16S ribosomal RNA". It matches the Rfam family "Bacterial small subunit ribosomal RNA", at positions 28 to 507 of the family's 1533-position model. The record is from RNAcentral.
GACGAACGCUGGCGGUGUGCUUAACACAUGCCAGUCGAACGGUAAGGCCCUUUCGUGGGUACACGAGUGGCGACCGGGGGAGUAACACGAGAGUAACCUGCCCCCAUCUCUGGGAUAACAGUCGCAAACGGUUGCUAAUACUGGAUACGAGUUUGCAAGGCAUCCUGUGGGUUGGAAAGAUUUUUUUUGUUUUGGGAUGGACUCGCGGCCUAUCCGCUUGUUGGUGAGGUAGUGGCUCACCAACGCUUUGACGGGUAGCCGGCCUGAGAGAGCGACCGGCCACAUUGGGACUGAGAUACGGGCCAAACUCCGACGGGAGGCAGCAGGGGGGAAUAUUGCACGAUGGACGGAAGUCUGAUGCAGGAACGCCGCGUGCGGGAUGAAGGCCGUCGGGUUGUAAACAGCUAUCAAUUAGGACGAAGCUUUUUUGUGACGGUAGCAGUAGAAGAAGCACCGGCUAACUACGUG